GCCCCGUCAUGGAGGGGAGGACAGUGCUCAUUUGCUCAUUUUACCUGAUUGCAGUUUGUACCAAAAUGCGUGUUGUGGUUUUCAGCGUAUUAUUCUUGAUGUAUUUAAGAAAUGUUCAAUCCCAAGUGUCCCUUCUCGAAUCUGGUGGGGACGUGAAGAAGCCCGGAGAGGAUCACCGUUUGACCUGCAAAUACUCCGGGCACGACUUUCGGGACUAUACUAUCCAGUGGGUCCGGCAGCAGCCCGGGAAGGGACUCGAGUGGCUAGUCCAGGUCCACAGUGACUCCAGCAAAACAUAUUACUCCCCCUCAGUGAAGGGUCGAUUCCACGCCUUCAGGGACAACUUCCAGAACGUGGCCCUUCUGGACAUGAACAACCUGAAACCCGAAGACAGCGGUGUCUAUUACUGCGCUAGAGGCAUUGAACGCACGGAAAGAGAGCACGGUGAUCUGAGUGAAUUACAGGCUCACACACUAACCUUGCUCAACGCACUGCUUUAUACGUUGUGAAUUCCCAUAAUUUAACCAUACCUCAACUGUCCCCAAAUUGCAGAGCAUCCCUCGUUUUGUUUCUCUGUUCCUCCUAACAUUCUUGACUUUCUGGUAAAAUUGCUGUGAAUUACAGUCACUCUGUAGUGCCAGCCACUGUAGUGCAGAAAAUACACGCGGGAGCAAAACGGAUUGCUCUAUUAACUUUUAAGUGAAUUAGACUAAUAUUUAGAGUUGACCUUAAGCCUUUGUCCCAUACCUCUCAACUGUCCAGACUUUCACAGAAUGUUGAUUUUUGUCUCAUAUGUUCCCAGAGUGGCCAUGGUAGUGCAGCGAUUUGGUGCCUUCUGUGUGGAGUCUGCAUGU
Protopterus annectens (West African lungfish) is the source of this 854-nucleotide non-coding RNA. The record is from the annotation of a RefSeq genome assembly. Lineage: Eukaryota; Metazoa; Chordata; Ceratodontiformes; Protopteridae.